CCUACGGGAGGCAGCAGUGGGGAAUAUUGCACAAUGGGGGGAACCCUGAUGCAGCAACGCCGCGUGAAGGAAGACGGUUUUCGGAUUGUAAACUUCUAUCAAUAGGGAAGAAAGAAAUGACGGUACCUGACUAAGAAGCCCCGGCUAACUACGUGCCAGCAGCCGCGGUAAUACGUAGGGGGCAAGCGUUAUCCGGAUUUACUGGGUGUAAAGGGAGCGUAGACGGCGAUGCAAGCCAGAUGUGAAAGCCCGGGGCUCAACCCCGGGACUGCAUUUGGAACUGUAUAGCUGGAGUGUCGGAGAGGCAGGCGGAAUUCCUAGUGUAGCGGUGAAAUGCGUAGAUAUUAGGAGGAACACCAGUGGCGAAGGCGGCCUGCUGGACGAUGACUGACGUUGAGGCUCGAAAGCGUGGGGAGCAAACAGGAUUAGAUACCCUAGUAGUC
RNAcentral lists this ribosomal RNA (443 nucleotides) under uncultured bacterium. RNAcentral describes it as "partial 16S ribosomal RNA". It matches the Rfam family "Bacterial small subunit ribosomal RNA", at positions 338 to 795 of the family's 1533-position model. The record is from RNAcentral.